This 85-nucleotide transfer RNA is filed under the name Felis catus (domestic cat). It matches the Rfam family "tRNA". From Rfam's summary of the family: Transfer RNA (tRNA) molecules are approximately 80 nucleotides in length. Their secondary structure includes four short double-helical elements and three loops (D, anti-codon, and T loops). The record is from Rfam by way of RNAcentral. Lineage: Eukaryota; Metazoa; Chordata; Mammalia; Carnivora; Felidae.
GCCUGGGUGGCUCAGUCGGUUGAGCAUCCAACUUCGGCUCAGGUCACGACCUCACGGUUUGUGAGUUCGAGCCUCACUUCAGGCU